This is a long non-coding RNA of Homo sapiens (human), 1672 nucleotides long. Ensembl annotates it as long intergenic non-protein coding RNA 1203. NCBI's taxonomy places the organism in Eukaryota, Metazoa, Chordata, Mammalia, Primates, Hominidae. The record is from Ensembl.
CAGGCUUCCCAAAAGUUGUUUGAUAGUAUACAGGCAUGAGAUGGUGUGACUCUAACUCAUUAGAUGCCUUCGUCUUUUCAGUCAUCAUGUGAUGGAAAGAAAGCUAUCAACUUCAUUCCUGAGACUUCCUGCAACACAGCUUAGUAUGUCUAGCAUGGGCAUGCCUGCUGAAGUUUGGAACUUCCCAUCAAGGAAACAGGAAAAUGCCAUUGGCAAUGAGCUGAAGACUGAUUUACUCUACCAGUUUGGAACAUCUGUUAUUGCUGCUACUACGGUUUCUAUCACUGUUUGAUGCUGGGACUCUUAAGCUCCAACCACGUUUUCACCGAGCUGAGUCGCCUUCUUAUCACCCCUUUCUGGAGCAGCAGGACAUCUGGGGAUGAGAAGAUGGAGAGAUCAUCCUUAUAUAAUGUUGCAGUCUGGAAGCAUCACUCUCAAAAAGCCAUUGUAGAGAAUCCAAGCCGAGUUUAAGAGUGCUGUGGAAAUACACUGCUGCUACUGCUGUUUCUAUUACUGUUUGAUGCUGGGACUCUUAUGCUCCAACCACGUUUUCACCCAGCUGAGUCGCCUUCGUAUCACGCCUUUCCAGUUCAACAAAGUGUGGACAGCUGUGCAGAAAUAUGAUUGGACAAAAAUGUUGUGAUCUAAAGCUAAUGGACUGAGUGUGGAAACCCAACAAGGCCUGUCUGUCUAGAUUCUUCUUGGCCUCUCUGAGCAGCGUUCCUUCCUUCUGGGUGUAAGGCAAGACCCUCUCUGGAGUGGGGGUGUUAUGACCUACAGUCAAACAAGAGAAAUAAAGUUCAUCACAGUGAGUCAAGAUGCCUCAUUCCAAGCUAUGGUGUAAAUUUCAUAGACUAAGAAAUGUGCAAGUUUCCUUUUUGCUAAGUAUGACACAUCACCUCUCUCUCACAAAGGGAUAUAUGUUGUUACUAAUGUAAACUCAUUAGUUUUGAUCAAUGUUUUGUGAACUCAAAAGUAUCUGAGACAGCUCUCAAUCAAUUUAGAAAGUUUAUUUUGUGAAGGUUAAGGACAUGCCCGUGACACAGCCUCAGGAGGUCCAGAUUACAUGUGCACAAGGUGGUCAGGGUACAGCUUGCCUUUAUACAUUUUAGGGAGACAUAAUACAUCAGUCAAUACAUGUAAGGUUUACAUUGUUUCGAUCUGGAAGGGUGGGGCAACUCGAAGCAGGAGUCGGGCUUCCAGGUCAUAGGUAGAUUUAAACAUUUUCUGAUUGGCAAUUGGUUGAAAGAGUUAUUAUCAGUAGAAAGAAUUGUUUGGGUUAUGAUAAGUGGUUGUGGAGGCCAAGGUUUUAUCAUGCAGAUGAAGCCUCCAGGUAGCAGGCUUCAGAGAAAUAGACUGUAAAUGUGUUUUUAUUGGACUUAAGGUCUGUGUUGAUAUUAAUGCUGGAGGGGUAUAAUGAGGCUUGUCCAACCCCCUCCUCCAUCAUGGCCUGAACUAGUUUUUCAGGUUAACUCUGGAAUGCCCUUGGCCAAAAGGAGGGGUUCAUUUAGAUGGUUGAGGGGCUUUAGAAUUUUAUUUUUGGUUCACAGGAUCAUGGUUAUAUAAGAUGUUAACAUUAGGAGAUGCUGGGUAAAAGGUAUAUGGGAACCUUCUGUACUGCCUUUGCAACUCUUCUAUAAAUCUAAAAUAAUUUCAAAAUGUUACUAUUAAC